Molecule: ribosomal RNA, 591 nt
Filed under: uncultured fungus
Lineage: Eukaryota; Fungi
Description: eukaryotic LSU rRNA
Rfam family: Eukaryotic large subunit ribosomal RNA
Source: RNAcentral
AGCAUAUCAAUAAGCGGAGGAAAAGAAACCAACAGGGAUUGCCUCAGUAACGGCGAGUGAAGCGGCAACAGCUCAAAUUUGAAAUCUGGCCCUUGGGUCCGAGUUGUAAUUUGCAGAGGAUGCUUUUGGUGAAGUGCCUUCCGAGUCCCAUGGAACUGGGCGCCAUAGAGGGUGAGAGCCCCGUCUAGUCGUGCACUGAGCCUAUGUAAAGCUCCUUCGACGAGUCGAGUAGUUUGGGAAUGCUGCUCUAAAUGGGAGGUGUAUGUCUUCUAAAGCUAAAUACCGGCCAGAGACCGAUAGCGCACAAGUAGAGUGAUCGAAAGAUGAAAAGUACUCUGAAGAGAGAGUUAAAUAGCACGUGAAAUUGUUAAAGGGGAAGCGUUUAUGACCAGACUUGGGGCCGGCCGAUCAUCCAGCGUUCUCGCUGGUGCACUCGGCCGGCUUUAGGCCAGCAUCGGUUCGCGCCGGGGGAAAAAGGCUUCGGGAACGUAGCUCCUUCGGGAGUGUUAUAGACCGUUGCGUAAUACCCUGGGGCGGACUGAGGAACGCGCUUCGGCACGGAUGCUGGCGUAAUGGUCACCAACGACCCGU